This 447-nucleotide ribosomal RNA is filed under the name uncultured bacterium. RNAcentral describes it as "partial 16S ribosomal RNA". It matches the Rfam family "Bacterial small subunit ribosomal RNA", at positions 30 to 523 of the family's 1533-position model. The record is from RNAcentral.
AUUGAACGCUGGCGGCAGGCCUAAUACAUGCAAGUCGAGCGCCCCUUCGGGGGAGCGGCGGACGGGUGAGUAACGCGUGGGAACGUGCCCUUUGGUACGGAACAACUGAGGGAAACUUCAGCUAAUACCGUAUGUGCCCUUCGGGGGAAAGAUUUAUCGCCAUUGGAGCGGCCCGCGUUGGAUUAGGUAGUUGGUGGGGUAAAGGCCCACCAAGCCUACGAUCCAUAGCUGGUCUGAGAGGAUGAUCAGCCACACUGGGACUGAGACACGGCCCAGACUCCUACGGGAGGCAGCAGUAGGGAAUCUUGCGCAAUGGGCGAAAGCCUGACGCAGCCAUGCCGCGUGUAUGAUGAAGGUCUUAGGAUUGUAAAAUACUUUCACCGGGGAAGAUAAUGACGGUACCCGGAGAAGAAGCCCCGGCUAACUUCGUGCCAGCCGCCGCAGUAA